Molecule: unclassified non-coding RNA, 394 nt
Filed under: Hevea brasiliensis (rubber tree)
Lineage: Eukaryota; Viridiplantae; Streptophyta; Magnoliopsida; Malpighiales; Euphorbiaceae
Source: RNAcentral
GUAACUCCUCCUGGAAAGAUCAAUCAAAGUCUUGGCUCUGAAUCUGAUGAUACUGGUCCCAGUGAGAACACGUCAAUUGAAGUUGGAAGCUCUAGUAUACCAAGCACAAUAUCUCGUAGAAGUUUUCAUCACACCAGAAAUCAGGAAUAGGUAAACCAGAUACCCGAAUAGGCUCACCGCUUUUAUUGGUAUCUAAAAGCACAAGCCAAGGGACACGUGCUAGUCCACACAGGAAUGGUCUAAGAAACCUUAGAUGCAGUUCAAUAUCAGAUGUUGUCCCUACAGGAUCUUCAACAUCAGAUUCAAAUCUCAUUAGACGAAAAGACACAAUUAAGAAGAGAAUUUCUGAUGGAGAAAGUAGUUCCUCUGCUAAAGGGAAGAAAAUAAGUGGGCC